AAAAAGUUCGUUCAGAUCUUUCCAUAUAAUUGUAUAGAAAGCCCUGAAUGAACUUUUUGG
Molecule: microRNA precursor, 60 nt
Filed under: Bos taurus (domestic cattle)
Lineage: Eukaryota; Metazoa; Chordata; Mammalia; Artiodactyla; Bovidae
Description: microRNA bta-mir-2285as precursor (bta-mir-2285as-1)
Source: miRBase by way of RNAcentral